GCAUGAAGUCGGAAUUGCUAGUAAUCGCAGAUCAGCAUGCUGCGGUGAAUACGUUCCCGGGCCUUGUACACACCGCCCGUCACACCAUGGGAGUCGGUAACACCCAAAGUUGGUAGCCUAACCGCAAGGAGGGCGCCGCCUAAGGUGGGAUUGAUGACUGGGGUGAAGUCGUAACAAGGUACC
RNAcentral lists this ribosomal RNA (183 nucleotides) under uncultured bacterium. Its description in RNAcentral is "partial 16S ribosomal RNA". It matches the Rfam family "Bacterial small subunit ribosomal RNA", at positions 1318 to 1500 of the family's 1533-position model. The record is from RNAcentral.